Molecule: non-coding RNA, 28 nt
Filed under: Mus musculus (house mouse)
Lineage: Eukaryota; Metazoa; Chordata; Mammalia; Rodentia; Muridae
Source: RNAcentral
UCNGAGAAGACCUCUACAGGAAAGCUGG